CUGCUCAACAUAGAUUGAGAUGAUGCAGACAUUGAGAGGGAUCUACUGAGUACAUUCUGCAGACUCUAUACAGGAUGCAGACCCGCAAGAAGCGACAAAGGUUGCUUGCUGAAAAAGACAGCACUAGUGUCUCUAAUAUUCUACUAAUAUUUUCAAAACAUAAUUUUCUCUAACCCUGACCUGUUUGAUGCCAGAAAGAGAGAUGUAAUCCUCAAGUUCCCGUUCACAUAAAAGACCUGUGCAUGUAAAAUUAUUAUAAG
This 260-nucleotide long non-coding RNA is filed under the name Panax ginseng (ginseng). RNAcentral describes it as "long non-coding RNA (PGIN_LNC004196)". The record is from RNAcentral. Lineage: Eukaryota; Viridiplantae; Streptophyta; Magnoliopsida; Apiales; Araliaceae.